Molecule: non-coding RNA, 85 nt
Organism: Gammaproteobacteria bacterium
Lineage: Bacteria; Pseudomonadati; Pseudomonadota; Gammaproteobacteria
Source: Rfam
GCCCGGGUGGCGGAAUAGGUAGACGCAAGGGACUUAAAAUCCCUCGGGAUCUAAUCCCGUGCCGGUUCGAUUCCGGCCUCGGGCA